RNAcentral lists this ribosomal RNA (497 nucleotides) under uncultured bacterium. RNAcentral describes it as "partial 16S ribosomal RNA". It matches the Rfam family "Bacterial small subunit ribosomal RNA", at positions 28 to 507 of the family's 1533-position model. The record is from RNAcentral.
GAUGAACGCUGGCGGCGUGCCUAAUACAUGCAAGUCGAGCGAACAGACGAGGAGCUUGCUCCUCUGAAGUUAGCGGCGGACGGGUGAGUAACACGUGGAUAACCUACCUAUAAGACUGGGAUAACUUCGGGAAACCGGAGCUAAUACCGGAUAAUAUAUUGAACCGCAUGGUUCAAUAGUGAAAGACGGUUUUGCUGUCACUUAUAGAUGGAUCCGCGCCGCAUUAGCUAGUUGGUAAGGUAACGGCUUACCAAGGCGACGAUGCGUAGCCGACCUGAGAGGGUGAUCGGCCACACUGGAACUGAGACACGGUCCAGACUCCUACGGGAGGCAGCAGUAGGGAAUCUUCCGCAAUGGGCGAAAGCCUGACGGAGCAACGCCGCGUGAGUGAUGAAGGUCUUCGGAUCGUAAAACUCUGUUAUUAGGGAAGAACAAAUGUGUAAGUAACUAUGCACGUCUUGACGGUACCUAAUCAGAAAGCCACGGCUAACUACGUG